AGUGAACGCUGGCGGUAGGCCUAACACAUGCAAGUCGAACGGCAGCACAGUAAGAGCUUGCUCUUACGGGUGGUGAGUGGCGGACGGGUGAGGAAUACAUCGGAAUCUACUUUUUCGUGGGGGAUAACGUAGGGAAACUUACGCUAAUACCGCAUACGACCUACGGGUGAAAGCAGGGGAUCUUCGGACCUUGCGCGAUUGAAUGAGCCGAUGUCGGAUUAGCUAGUUGGCGGGGUAAAGGCCCAACAAGGCGACGAUCCGUAGCUGGUCUGAGAGGAUGAUCAGCCACACGGGAACUGAGACACGGCCCAGACUCCUACGGGAGGCAGCAGUGGGGAAUAUUGGACAAUGGGCGCAAGCCUGAUCCAGCCAUACCGCCUGGGUGAAGAAGGCCUUCGGGUUGUAAAGCCCUUUUGUUGGGAAAGAAAAGCAGCAGGUUAAUACCCCGCUGUUCUGACGGUACCCAAAGAAUAAGCACCGGCUAACUUCGUG
Molecule: ribosomal RNA, 492 nt
Filed under: uncultured bacterium
Lineage: Bacteria
Description: partial 16S ribosomal RNA
Rfam family: Bacterial small subunit ribosomal RNA
Source: RNAcentral